This 492-nucleotide ribosomal RNA is filed under the name uncultured bacterium. RNAcentral describes it as "partial 16S ribosomal RNA". It matches the Rfam family "Bacterial small subunit ribosomal RNA", at positions 29 to 507 of the family's 1533-position model. The record is from RNAcentral.
AGUGAACGCUGGCGGUAGGCCUAACACAUGCAAGUCGAACGGCAGCACAGUAAGAGCUUGCUCUUACGGGUGGCGAGUGGCGGACGGGUGAGGAAUACAUCGGAAUCUACUUUUUCGUGGGGGAUAACGUAGGGAAACUUACGCUAAUACCGCAUACGACCUACGGGUGAAAGCAGGGGAUCUUCGGACCUUGCGCGAUUGAAUGAGCCGAUGUCGGAUUAGCUAGUUGGCGGGGUAAAGGCCAACCAAGGCGACGAUCCGUAGCUGGUCUGAGAGGAUGAUCACCCACACUGGAACUGAGCCACGUUCCAGACUCCUACGGGGGGCAGCAGUGGGGAAUAUUGGACAAUGGGGGCAAGCCUGAUCCAGCCAUACCGCGUGGGUGAAGAAGGCCUUCGGGUUGUAAAGCCCUUUUGUUGGGAAAGAAAAGCAGCAGGUUAAUACCCCGCUGUUCUGACGGUACCCAAAGAAUAAGCACCGGCUAACUUCGUG